This 253-nucleotide ribosomal RNA is filed under the name uncultured bacterium. RNAcentral's name for it is "partial 16S ribosomal RNA". It matches the Rfam family "Bacterial small subunit ribosomal RNA", at positions 524 to 776 of the family's 1533-position model. The record is from RNAcentral.
UACGGAGGGUGCGAGCGUUGUCCGGAAUCACUGGGCGUAAAGGGCGCGUAGGCGGCCUGGUAAGUAGGGGGUGAAAUCCUGCGGCUUAACCGCAGGGCUGCCUUCUAAACUGUCAGGCUCGAAUCCGGGAGAGGGAUGCGGAAUUCCAGGUGUAGCGGUGAAAUGCGUAGAUAUCUGGAGGAACACCGGUGGCGAAGGCGGCAUCCUGGACCGGUAUUGACACUGAGGCGCGAAAGCCAGGGGAGCAAACGGG